Molecule: ribosomal RNA, 490 nt
Filed under: uncultured bacterium
Lineage: Bacteria
Description: bacterial SSU rRNA
Rfam family: Bacterial small subunit ribosomal RNA
Source: RNAcentral
AGAGUUGAUCCUGGCUCAGGACGAACGCUGGCGGCAUGCUUCAUACAUGCAAGUCGAACGAUAAGGUCUCUUCGGAGAUACAUAAGUGGCGGACGGGUGAGUAAUAUGUAGGAAAUCUGCCCUUGAGAGGGGGACAACAGAGGGAAACUUCUGCUAAUACCCCAUAUGAGCGUACCUGAAAUGGUAUUCUUGAAAACUCCGGUGCUCAAGGAUGAGCCUGCAUCUGAUUAGCUUGUUGGCGGUGUAAUGGACCACCAAGGCGACGAUCAGUAGCUGGUUUGAGAGGAUGAUCAGCCACAAUGGGACUGAGACACGGCCCAUACUCCUACGGGAGGCAGCAGUAGGGAAUUUUGCGUAAUGGGCGAAAGCCUGAACCGCAGCAAUGCCGCGUGAACGUAGAAGCCCUUCGGGGUGUAAAGUUCUGUCAGUGGGGACGAAUUUUGACGGUACCCACAGAGGAAGCACCGGCUAACUCCGUGCCAGCAGCCGC